RNAcentral lists this long non-coding RNA (582 nucleotides) under Homo sapiens (human). RNAcentral's name for it is "non-protein coding lnc-TDRD15-8:4". Lineage: Eukaryota; Metazoa; Chordata; Mammalia; Primates; Hominidae. The record is from RNAcentral.
GAGAGAGUCAUGUUCAGGGAUGGGAAUGACUUGACAUUAGAUAUAAGUCAAAUCUCCCCAAAUUAAUCCAUGAGUCCUCAAUCAGUAUUCAAUUUAGAUUCUUUUGAAGAUUUUGACAGACUUCCAAAAACUUAUGUUAGGUUUAUAAAUAAGUCAGCUUCAAAAAGUGGAGCAAAGAGAAAGAGAAACAGAAUAGAAGACUCAUAAACCAAUGCUUGUAAAUAUGGGAACUUGGUCUAUGAUAAAGACAGCACCACACAAUUAAUAGGUAAGUGAUGAAGUAUUUUGUAGCCAAUAAUGGGGAUCUUAACUCAUUUCUCCUUUCCUGUAGUAGAAUGAUAUAUUCAUGGGCUUUUCAUGUGACUUUGGAAUACCUCCCACUGGAACAGGAAUAUAUAUCCUGUUGAUGGCGGUCAUGGCUUUAACCAUGGAUGUUAGGAUACAUGAUAUAAGCAGAGGUUUUCAAUAUGCUUUGGUUAUUUGGCUUGGCCUCUUGCAUUUCUGCAUCUGCCAUAAGAAAAACAUGCCUUGGCUGAUUUCUGGUCCAUGGAAUGAGGAGACAUAUGGAGCACACCUGAACUC